AUUAUUUUUUUCUCUUCUGUUUUAGCCCAUGUUAUAACCUGGACAGGCAACUACUGAUUCUUAAUGUCUGGCCACUGAUUUUUAAGUGCUUAAAUAUUCAAAAGUUUGUUAAGCAUAUUAUUUAAUAUUCACUUAUUAUUCAAGUGGUUGUUGUUUAUAUUAAGUGAGUCAAUCCCUAGUGUCGUCCACCCACUUUUUUUGAAAAUUGCUGCUGACAGCCUUUUUUGUCUGAGUAAGUUGUAUUUGCCCCUGCAGACUCUGCUCAGACUUUUCCCAGGCUGGUCAGGAGAGUCCUCUUCUGAUCCAGUCUAUUUCUCUUCUUAUCAAAUUAUUAAAAUUUCUGCUAAAGUGUACAUAACCCUCUAUAGGAUAUGAGCCCAUUUACGUUUCUUAUUUAUCUUGCGUCCUCUGUAUUUAACUCAGUGCAGGGAAUUUCAGCACUGAAAUGUCUGUGGAAUUAGGAUUUAAUAAGCAAUGGUUUUAUUGGCUAGGAAAUAGCGGCAAACAAAGGUGAGCCUCCAGAGGUGUAACUUCCCUAUCCAAACUUUCUCUGUGGGGACUGAGAACCUAGGAAGGGAAUGAGUCACCUCCUUUUAC
This 597-nucleotide long non-coding RNA is filed under the name Homo sapiens (human). RNAcentral describes it as "non-protein coding lnc-MARCKS-11:1". The record is from RNAcentral. Lineage: Eukaryota; Metazoa; Chordata; Mammalia; Primates; Hominidae.